RNAcentral lists this unclassified non-coding RNA (307 nucleotides) under uncultured fungus. Its description in RNAcentral is "partial contains small subunit ribosomal RNA, internal transcribed spacer 1, and 5.8S ribosomal RNA". The stretch from base 1 to 73 matches the Rfam family "Eukaryotic small subunit ribosomal RNA", at positions 1759 to 1831 of the family's 1831-position model. Lineage: Eukaryota; Fungi. The record is from RNAcentral.
CCAAACUUGGUCAUUUAGAGGAAGUAAAAGUCGUAACAAGGUUUCCGUAGGUGAACCUGCGGAAGGAUCAUUACCGAGUGCCAGCCCCCGCGGGCUGAACCUCCCACCCUUGUCUCUGAUACACCCUGUUGCUUUGGCGGGCCCACCGGGGUCCUCCCCGGUCGCCGAGGGGCAUCCCGCCCCUGGGCCCGUGCCCGCCGGAGCGCCCGUGAACCCGAAUGAAGAUGGACUGUCUGAGUGUGGGAUGAGAAUUGUCAAAACUUUCAACAAUGGAUCUCUUGGUUCCGGCAUCGAUGAAGAACGCAGC